Molecule: long non-coding RNA, 840 nt
Organism: Homo sapiens (human)
Lineage: Eukaryota; Metazoa; Chordata; Mammalia; Primates; Hominidae
Source: Ensembl
CAGAGAAUGAAAGAUGGAAGAAAUGAAGUAGUGGACAAGCAAACAUCAAUGUGGAGACAGAUUCUCAUUUUCCCCAUUUGGUCUUGGCUGCUUAAGAAAAGGUGAAAAGCAGGAGAAGAUGCUUCCCGGUACUGCAACGUAGGGCAAAGUGGAGCUGACAAAUGGAAAGAAUGUGACCUUGGGAAUGAGAUUCUUGCCUUUUCUGAGAUACUCGUACCUGGCUGGUAUCAGUUCUGUCAGACACAGCACUUCCCACGUAAGAGGGAACACGCCCAGGUGGACAGCGGUACUGCAGGACGCGAGAUGCACAAGGCAGAGGAAGAGCAAGGGCACUGCAGGCACUCGGGAAGGUGUCUCUAGAAAGUCUAAUCUGGAUUCCGCGGGAUAGGAAAGUGCCCUCUCCGGGAGAGCUAAGAAUAGAGACAAGUCAGCCGGGGUCGGGGCCAGUACCCAGAAAACGGCAUGGCCUAUUCUAGGGAUUCAAAGAUAUUCACCAGCAUUUAGAAUGUGGGGGUGGGAGAUUACAAAAGAUUGGCAAGGGUAAAAUCUUGCAAGAUAUUUGAACCAUAUUAAACCAACUUUUGCCUGAAAGCAAUAGAAAGCCAUUGAAAAAUUUUAGGCAGAGGAAUAGAUUCUUGUCAUCUCUACAUUGAAAAUAAUCCACCCAAAUUACCAUUUGAUCCAGCAAUGCCCCUUCUGGGUGUAUAUAUACCCAAAAGAAUUAAAAGCAGGGUCUCAAAGGGAUAUUUGUACACUCUUGUUUAUGGCAGCAUUAUUGACAAUAGCUGAGAGGUGGAAGCAGCCAAAUGUCCAUCAACAGAUGAAAGGAAAAACCAGAUG